AGGUGCAGUGGCAAGUGCCUGUAGUUCCAGCUACUCGGGAGGAUGAGAGGAUGAGGUGGGAGGAUCGCUUGAGCCCAGGAGUUCUAGACUGUAGUGCGCUAUGCCAAUUGGGUGACCGCACUAAGUUCGGCAUCAAUAUGGUGACCUCCUGGGAGUGGGGGACCUCUAGGUUGCCUAAGGAGGAGUGAACAGGCCCAGGUCAGAAACAAAGCAGGUCAAAACUGCCGUGCUGACCAGCAGUGGGAUUGUGCCUGUGAAUAGCCACUGUACUCCAGCCUGGGCAACAUAGCAAGACCCUGUCUCUA
This is an unclassified non-coding RNA of Callithrix jacchus (white-tufted-ear marmoset), 305 nucleotides long. It matches the Rfam family "Metazoan signal recognition particle RNA". Rfam says of the family: The signal recognition particle (SRP) is a universally conserved ribonucleoprotein. The record is from Ensembl. Lineage: Eukaryota; Metazoa; Chordata; Mammalia; Primates; Cebidae.